Long non-coding RNA from Anolis sagrei ordinatus, 2004 nucleotides. RefSeq lists it as uncharacterized. The record is from RefSeq and is a predicted model, not a curated record. Lineage: Eukaryota; Metazoa; Chordata; Lepidosauria; Squamata; Anolidae.
GCUCAGGAUGGAUUUCUACUCAUCUUGCUUCUGUUGUGCAUCCAGAAAAUGUGUCUUGGGAGAAAGGCAGCCAAUAUUCUGAACUUCCUGACACAUAAUACCUCUGUGGUCAGGAGAAGCAAUGUGGUUGCUGCUCAACAGAGUGCCAGGAAGGAAUGGAGCCACUGAAGAAGAGCACCUCCAAACUUCAUCCCAGAAAGGCAACAGAGAAGGCUGAUGGUAUCGGAAGCCGCUAUUUCUACUAAGACAUUUGUGUGACAUUCUUUUCUGCUGAGAUGGGGCUAUGAUGGGUCCCACAGCAUUUUGAUACAUGUGUGGAACUGACCAGAAUAUAGUGAAAGAGGUCUAUGUUCUAUAAAAGCACUUAGAAAUAUUGUGACCUGGGACAGAAGGCUGAAUCCUCCUUUUUACACCAGCGCGUCCCUCUUGUUUAAGUUGCCUUUUUGAUAAAAAGAAAAACAUACAAAACCAGGAAAUAACAGAUAUAAGACAUAUAAAAACAGAUAUUAAAAUCCAUUUUUAAAUAUAUAAAAAGAAAUACCUCAUUCUAGGUCCUUAUAAGUCAUUUUUGUGUGUUCUUGUUCCUCUUCUGCAUUUUUCCCUAUUUUGAAAAGCCUUUAUAUAAACAGCUGCAAUAACUAUGAAGAACGGGGAGGGAUCCCUAACCUCUAUAAGUCUACUCAGGCCUCCAUUAUUUGUGCAUGAGGGAAAAAUAAACAUGUUAAAAAGCAAAUUAAAAGUACAAAUAUAAAGUUACUGUACAAAUAUACAGUUACUGUGAAAGAAGAGAGGAAAGAAAUGACAUAUAGAGAAGAUGUAGGUUCCCCUUUUGAACACUGCAAUAAGGGGAAUAAAGAGAGGCACUGAAUCCUUCCCCCUCCAUGGCUUCUUGGACUAUGAAAAGAGGUUCUGAAAAUGCACGUCAUAAUCCGUUCACCUUCAAAUUCAAAAAGUAUUGUGCCACUUUCAUGUCAUGGCCUUUUCAAAUUCCCAUGGCUAGCAACUAUUGGAGAUAAUCUUGGCAGACCCUCAGCUGUGUCCAGCCAGGCUCUUCUAAGUUUCUUCUUACUUAAUGCCUCUCUGAACUCUAAGUACAGGCAGUUUAUAAAACACUUUAGAUCUGCCUUCAGGAGUUUAUCUACAGACACCUGAACCGCCAUAAAGUAAGUAAUCAAUGAUUAUCAAAAGCAGAGCUCCACACCUAACUGUGCAAUCAAACAAGUACCUAAGACCAAAGGACUGGCCAAGUUGUAAAGUACAAAAGGGUGUGGGGUUCAUGUAAGACGAAGUCAUCAUUUCUCCUUGAAGGGCCUACAUAUAGAAAGAGGAAGGAUUUCUUCAGAUGUAAGCAACUUUGUAGAAAUAUACAGUGGUCAACCAAAUCUAAAGAGGGAAGUUACAAGAACUUUAGAACUGCUUGCAGGAUGGUCAUUUGAUUUUAAUAAUUUAGUUUCUUGCGAAAUGCUGUCCUUGAUUUUGGCUCUUCCCCUAAUCACAGAGCUCUAUACCAAGCAAAAGAUUGUUAUUGUAAUUUAAUAAUACAGGCUGCUGCACUAAUUUUAAGGAUUAUAAAGGCUUUUUAGACUCUUUGGAGUGAGUGAUGGCUCCUAUAUUUCUAGAGUACACAAUGCCAAAUCAAGUGAUUACUUUACCACACAUGGCAGAAAGCCUAACAAGUUAUCUUAUUAUCCCUAACAAUAGAAUCUAAGAAUAACAAAACAGAUUCUGUACAUGUCAAUCUCAUGUAUAAGUCAAAGGCACAAUUUUGGAUUUUGAUAUGACCCAUGGAUAAAUCGAAGGCCAUUCCAGAUAGAAAAGAAACUAACAAUGUAAUCGCAGGAGGGCCAGCCACUCCUGGCCACCUCCAGUUUCCCUCUCAGGGAUUCAGAAAGGUAAGAAGUGGAACCACAGUUGAGAGUAGAGCAAAUCAAAAUGUCUUUCAGCUUUUCCUAGGAUGAACUAAACUCUUGCUUGUACUAUUCUACUCAGAGAAGGCAUUGACCC